RNAcentral lists this ribosomal RNA (380 nucleotides) under uncultured eukaryote. Its description in RNAcentral is "partial 18S ribosomal RNA". It matches the Rfam family "Eukaryotic small subunit ribosomal RNA", at positions 592 to 976 of the family's 1831-position model. The record is from RNAcentral.
CAAUAGCGUAUAUUAAAGUUGUUGCAGUUAAAAAGCUCGUAGUUGGAUUUGUGGCGUACGGUGUGUUCCGGGCACUUGUUGUCUGAGUAACCUGCUGUUGCCAUCCUUGGGUGGAACCUGUGUGGCAUUAGGUUGUCGUGCGGGGGAUGCCCAUCAUUUACUGUGAAAAAAUUAGAGUGUUCAAAGCAGGCUUAUGCCGUUGAAUAUAUUAGCAUGGAAUAAUGAGAUAGGACUUUUUUGCUAUUUUGUUGGUUUGCGCAAAGAGGUAAUGAUUAAUGGGGACAGUUGGGGGUAUUCGUAUUCCAUUGUCAGAGGUGAAAUUCUUGGAUUUUUGGAAGACGAACUACUGCGAAAGCAUUUACCAAGGAUGUUUUCAUUAA